GGCCGGGUACCCAAGCGGACAAAGGGAGCUGAUUGCAAACCAGCUAUUCGUGGGUCCGAAUCCCACCUCGGCCU
This 74-nucleotide transfer RNA is filed under the name Marinobacter sp. RNAcentral describes it as "tRNA-Cys". It matches the Rfam family "tRNA". From Rfam's summary of the family: Transfer RNA (tRNA) molecules are approximately 80 nucleotides in length. Their secondary structure includes four short double-helical elements and three loops (D, anti-codon, and T loops). Further hydrogen bonds mediate the characteristic L-shaped molecular structure. tRNAs have two regions of fundamental functional importance: the anti-codon, which is responsible for specific mRNA codon recognition, and the 3' end, to which the tRNAs corresponding amino acid is attached (by aminoacyl-tRNA synthetases). tRNAs cope with the degeneracy of the genetic code in two manners: having more than one tRNA (with a specific anti-codon) for a particular amino acid; and 'wobble' base-pairing, i.e. permitting non-standard base-pairing at the 3rd anti-codon position. Lineage: Bacteria; Pseudomonadati; Pseudomonadota; Gammaproteobacteria; Pseudomonadales; Marinobacteraceae. The record is from RNAcentral.